This 332-nucleotide ribosomal RNA is filed under the name uncultured Mycobacterium sp. Its description in RNAcentral is "bacterial SSU rRNA". It matches the Rfam family "Bacterial small subunit ribosomal RNA", at positions 8 to 342 of the family's 1533-position model. Lineage: Bacteria; Bacillati; Actinomycetota; Actinomycetes; Mycobacteriales; Mycobacteriaceae. The record is from RNAcentral.
AGAGUUUGAUCCUGGCUCAGGACGAACGCUGGCGGCGUGCUUAACACAUGCAAGUCGAACGGAAAGGCCUCUUCGGAGGUACUCGAGUGGCGAACGGGUGAGUAACACGUGGGCAAUCUGCCCUGCACUUCGGGAUAAGCCUGGGAAACUGGGUCUAAUACCGGAUAGGACCUCAAGACGCAUGUCUUCUGGUGGAAAGCUUUUGCGGUGUGGGAUGGGCCCGCGGCCUAUCAGCUUGUUGGUGGGGUGACGGCCUACCAAGGCGACGACGGGUAGCCGGCCUGAGAGGGUGUCCGGCCACACUGGGACUGAGAUACGGCCCAGACUCCUAC